GGGCCAAACCCAUAGUGAAUGCCAUUCCAGACCACCCUUCUCCAAUGUCUCGCUUAAUUGGAACUGCUCAGAGCACACUCGUCUCUUCUCCUUCUUCGUUCCUAUUUCGUGGACUCCAAUGCCACAAUCACCAUUGUUCCCUUACCCAACGGCGAAUUGCUAGUUCCGUUUAAUGACUCUGAAGACAUUAAACUUUAAGCGACAAUGUUUGAUGGGUAUGAAUCCGUUCCGAAUUCCGGAGAAGAUAGCUCAGGGAAAGAUGUGUGCUUUCACAUUAGCGUGCUUGUUGAGAUCUCUAAGAGGGUGGCGGCGAUGCAUUGGAGUUUAUGUGCUUGGCAUGGCCUGAUUGUUUAGAUAUUCAGAAAGCUUACUUACUUUUAGUCGUGGCAGUAUGCUGUCUAGGCCUUACACGGGACCUGAUUUUAGGAAUUUGAAUCCCGAGCUUCAGCAGAGAUUUCGGGAGUUCUUGGAGGCAAGGGGGGUAAAUGACAAACUUUCUGUUUUCUUGCAUGAAUAUAUGAUGAACAAGGAUUGAAUCGAACUUAUCCAAUGGUUUGGAAAGGUCAAGUUUUUCGUAGAAAAAUAGAGGGAUUUUUUUUACAGUGCAUUCUAUGAAACUGGUUGUUAAAGGAUUUGAUUCGAUGAAACUAGGGAUUACGCAAUGUCUAGCUAAUUUAAAGUGAAAUAUAAUAUGCCAAUUGUUGAAUCUUUGAGCGUGUUUGCUACUUAUUGUUGGGUCUACUUCUAAAAAGCAGUGGAAAGUUGUAACGUUCUAAUGUUAGACAGUCUCCAUGUUUUCAAGGGUGUUACAAGAUACUGGUUGGCAGUGAUCCAUUUUGGAGUUUGGAUCAUGUAUAUUGGGCUCUACGUAAACGUAAUAGAUUCGAUAAGCUUCAAGAAAAUUAUACAGAAAAGAGUAAGGGCAAAUAAUGAACUCUUCCUAAGUACGGCAUCAUCAUUUAGCCCAAUGCUAUCCUUUUGACAUAUUGAUAUUUGCCAUUUAAUAAAGUUUGCAUUGUUAUGUUAUUAAUUUAAAAGUGUUGCCUUUUCUUGUUAUAUUUGGUGUGUUUGAAAUUAUUAUUGGAAAAUAAUUAACUUAUGGAAAUGUAAUUAUUUUGAAGAAAGAAUCUUUGCUGGUUUGAAAUUUUGAGAUUUUUACUAAAAUUUAUCUACAAAUUAUGAUGUGAUUAUAAAUUAUGCAAAGCUUUGGCCUUGCCUUUGAACCACUUAACGUGCCUCCUUACCAUUAGGAUUAGGGGAACAUGAAGUCUGAACUCUACUGAUUGGGAAUCUGGGAAAUAAUUGCACAACACUACGGCAGCAUGGAUAGUACAAUUUUACUCCACUUGCUAUCUUCGUAGUUGAGCAUAAUUAGAUUGCUAUAUGCCUAGCCUCUUCCCUUGCAUUAAAUUGCUAUUGAUUAGAAUAAAUUAUCCGAGAGGAGUUCAAACAUCUCUCUUGGUGGAGGACUGAAAGCUAUUGCUCUUUGAUUUUCUCAUGUUGAAAUUCCUUACAUGUUCAAUAGGACUAAUCAGUAAUUACAACUUUUGUUUGAUACCUAUAACUAAUAUUGGUAACACAUGUAUCUAUGUGAAUGACUUGUUGAAAACAACAUUCUGUUUUAGGUUGGAAACUUUGUGACGAAGAACCACGAAUGGACAAUUGAAAACACAUAGAGAAAAGGAUGCAAUGCUUGAAAUUUAGAUUUCAAGUUUUAAUAUCCAAAAUACACUGCCAAAAAUACCUUAGAUAAUUAAAAUAACAAGAAUAAACUAUUUUCUAAAGUAUAAACUCCUGUCUAAAAUAUGUAGUAAUAAGAAUCCAAAGAGUAGAAUCCAAGGUUUGAAAUUUCUCUUUAGAAAUCCAUAUAGCAUCGGAUCAGGAUGACCUCGCCAUUUGACAUGAAAUCUUUGAAAACAUUGCAAAGAAGAAGCAACAAAUUCAUUGUCUAACACAACCAGUGUUAUCAAGGCGAAAGGC
Molecule: unclassified non-coding RNA, 1980 nt
Filed under: Hevea brasiliensis (rubber tree)
Lineage: Eukaryota; Viridiplantae; Streptophyta; Magnoliopsida; Malpighiales; Euphorbiaceae
Source: RNAcentral